GAUGAACGCUAGCUACAGGCUUAACACAUGCAAGUCGAGGGGAAACGAUAGAGAAAGCUUGCUUUUUCUAGGCGUCGACCGGCGCACGGGUGAGUAACGCGUAUCCAACCUGCCCAUCACUUGGGGAUAACCUUGCGAAAGUAAGACUAAUACCCAAUGAUAUCUCUAGAAGACAUCUGAAAGAGAUUAAAAGAUUUAUCGGUGAUGGAUGGGGAUGCGUCUGAUUAGCUUGUUGGCGGGGUAACGGCCCACCAAGGCGACGAUCAGUAGGGGUUCUGAGAGGAAGGUCCCCCACAUUGGAACUGAGACACGGUCCAAACUCCUACGGGAGGCAGCAGUGAGGAAUAUUGGUCAAUGGACGAGAGUCUGAACCAGCCAAGUAGCGUGCAGGAUGACGGCCCUAUGGGUUGUAAACUGCUUUUAUAAGGGAAUAAAGUGGGAGUCGUGACUCUUUUUGCAUGUACCUUAUGAAUAAGGACCGGCUAAUUCCGUGCCAGC
RNAcentral lists this ribosomal RNA (498 nucleotides) under uncultured bacterium. RNAcentral describes it as "bacterial SSU rRNA". It matches the Rfam family "Bacterial small subunit ribosomal RNA", at positions 28 to 512 of the family's 1533-position model. The record is from RNAcentral.